Molecule: ribosomal RNA, 292 nt
Filed under: uncultured bacterium
Lineage: Bacteria
Description: partial 16S ribosomal RNA
Rfam family: Bacterial small subunit ribosomal RNA
Source: RNAcentral
GUGCCAGCAGCCGCGGUAAUACGGAGGGUGCGAGCGUUGUCCGGAAUCACUGGGCGUAAAGGGCGCGUAGGCGGUUGGGGAAGUCCGUGGUGAAAGCUCGUGGCUCAACUACGAGUCGGCCAUGGAUACUCCUUGACUUGAGCACUGUAGAGGCAGAUGGAAUUCCGGGUGUAGCGGUGGAAUGCGUAGAGAUCCGGAAGAACACCGGUGGCGAAGGCGGUCUGCUGGGCAGUAGCUGACGCUGAGGCGCGAUAGCGUGGGGAGCAAACAGGAUUAGAUACCCUGGUAGUCC